CCCUUAGAUGUUCUGGGCCGCACGCGCGCUACACUGACGGAUUCAACGAGCUUACAACCUUGGCCGAAAGGUCUGGGUAAUCUUCAAAAUCCGUCGUGAUGGGGAUAGAUUAUUGCAAUUAUUAAUCUUCAACGAGGAAUGCCUAGUAAGCGCAAGUCAUCAGCUUGCGUUGAUUACGUCCCUGCACUUUGUACACACCGCCCGUCGCUCCUACCGAUUGAAUGGUCCGGUGAAGCGUUUGGACUAUGGUUUUCUGAUGGUCCGCCGUUGGAUUACCGUGGGAAGUUCGUUAAACCUUAUCAUUUAGAGGAAGGAGAAGUCGUAACA
RNAcentral lists this ribosomal RNA (327 nucleotides) under uncultured eukaryote. RNAcentral's name for it is "partial 18S ribosomal RNA". It matches the Rfam family "Eukaryotic small subunit ribosomal RNA", at positions 1470 to 1796 of the family's 1831-position model. The record is from RNAcentral.